CCCUCAGCCUCUAAAGACACACUAAAGCACAUUUACUCUCUCUCACUCAGGUUCUCAGUGCCUCAGUCCAGAUUGCUGCGUCAGACCUCACCGCCCCUUUCCAUUCAAACCAACUUUAAGCCACACUUCUGAGCGUGUGAGCCAGCAUUUCAUCCACAGUCUGCUGUGCACUUUCAGGAGCCUCUUAAUUUGUUAAAGUUUCAGCUGGAGAAAAGUGACCAACAGUGACCAUGAUGAGGAUCAUACUACUGCUGCUGCUGGUCACCCUGACGGGGCCUUUCUGUACCUUUACCCAAGCAAGUACUCUGGUGGUGCCAACAGCUAUUGAUUCAACUCCAGAACCAAAUCUUGCAUCAGAUCCGCCUGCUUUCACAGACAAAACAGAGGAACCAGCUCCUCAAGAUGCUGUUUCAACGUCAGAGCCUGCUCCUGAGGCUACAGAAGCAGCUGCCUCGACAGAAGAAGUGCCAGUGGUUUCCACAGCAGCACCAGUGAUACAGUCAGAAGCCCCAUUAGAAACAACAGCCCCAACAGAUACAGCACAAUCAACAGAAGCUGGACCUAAAGAGACGAUCGGCCCUGAAGCCACUACUGUCAUUGCAGGGGCAAGAGCAGAAGAAACUGAGAAAGCUGAAGACACAGAAUCAGAGACUGAAGAUGUAGAGGUGGAGAAUGAAGGUAUGGGCACAGGACAGUUGGUGGGGAUCGUAAUCGGUGCAUUGAUCGCAGUGAUUGUUGUCAUUGCUGUAAUCAUCUUGGUGGUCAGAAGAAUGGGCCAAUACUCCCCUUGAAAAGAAAGGCACGAGAGGAAGAGAAGAAGAAGAAAUCCGGGAAGUUCUGAACUAUUGUUCUGAUGUUAACAACAAUGCAAGCAGCACUCUCAACAUCCAUCCAGGACUAUACGGGGAGCAGGAGAGUGUCCCAUCCCCUUUCCCAUUGAAAAAGAUGCCCUCCCACAAAAACACCUUCUCAAUGCCCACGAGUCUCAUUAUUUAGCCUGAAAAGCCUUAUUUAUCCCAACAGUGGGAGGCCACAGGAAGUUACAGUAUCUUUUUUUAAUGCAUAUUAAUGUAACAGGAGAUUAAUGAAUGUUGAAUUUGUACAACAAACAAACAAACAGCUGCCCAUGCAAGCAAAAGCUUGUAUGUUUUUAUUCCACUGAGUGAAAAUUUCAUGCAGAAAACAACUAAUCCAAAAUCAUUAUUCUUUUCCCCAUUCUACAGAUGUGUCCAAUAGGACUAUGACGCAUUAUGAACAGUCUAUGAACUGUCAUAAGCAGAUGCUGAGGACACAUUCUGUCCUCAAGAUGUGUAAGCGGCAUUAACUAAUAAAUGUUUUUUAAAUUAUUAGUUAAGGGGAGCAGCACACAAUAAGUGCUUGAGAUUUACUCGUUUGAAGUGCAUUAAUAUGGAGUAACUUGACGGUGUUGUUCUUAACUGUCACCCAUUCCAAAAGUGACAUCACUUCCUCUGGAAUGCAUCAUUUAUUGUGUGUUCCAGUCCGCUUAGCUCUAGCGCACAGCUGCUAUUGGCAUGUAUCUCUAAAAUCCUGAUGUUCCUCAGCCUGGACUACUUCAUUUUAACAGCAUAGACAUUUUGCAUGCUAUAGUUGAGUUGUUUGCAUUUCUUUUUGUCAGUGAUGGGGUUUGUGUUUCUUUCUGACGUUCGAGAGCGUUGCUAUCCUGGGCUUUGCUUUAAGAGAUCAGUAUUAGGUGCACUGAAUGAUGAAGAAUAAAUGUUGACAAGACACUGCAGUUGUUUGCAACGAUAUUUUGUGUUUUUUGCUUGCCAGAUUCCUCUUUAUUUCCCGUUACUCCAUGAUCUCAUUUUGCAAUUUGAUGUGAUAUCAGAAUCCACUUAAAGCCGAGAGUUUGUCUUUGUGUUUUGGGGGUGAUGUUUUUUCUUUUUUUCUUAUUGUUCAAUCAGUUUCAAUAAAAAAGUUCCAAAGUAUGUUGCGCUGCCAUAUUGUGUUGUUGUGGAUCCCAGAUAACAUUGUCUGUUUAUCUGUGUUUACUUUUUAGCCCCUUUUACUCAGCAUUCCAGCUUUUCACACACAUUUACGCCCAUUCACUGUCUCUUUCUCACACAAACAC
RNAcentral lists this long non-coding RNA (2092 nucleotides) under Sinocyclocheilus anshuiensis. RNAcentral's name for it is "lncRNA (ENSSANG00000012163.1)". The record is from RNAcentral. Lineage: Eukaryota; Metazoa; Chordata; Actinopteri; Cypriniformes; Cyprinidae.